GGAGGGGGGGCAAGCGUUAUUCGGAUUUACUGGGCGUAAAGCGCACGUAGGGCGGCCAAGCAUGUCGACGGGUGAAAGCCCUCGGCUCAACCGAGGAAUUGCCUUCGAAACUGCCCUGGCUUGAGUCCGGGAGGGGGGAGCGGAAUUCCCAGUGUAGCGGUGAAAUGCGUAGAUACUGGGAGGAACACCGGUGGCGAAGGCGGCUCCCUGGACCGGUACUGACGCUGAGGUGCGAAAGCGUGGGUAGCAAACAGGAUUAGAUACCCUGGUAGUCCACGCCGUAAACGAUGGGCACUAGGUGCAGCGGGUGUCGACCCCUGCUGUGCCGAAGUUAACGCAUUAAGUGCCCCGCCUGGGGAGUACGGUCGCAAAGGCUG
Molecule: ribosomal RNA, 377 nt
Filed under: uncultured organism
Description: partial 16S ribosomal RNA
Rfam family: Bacterial small subunit ribosomal RNA
Source: RNAcentral